GAUAGAGGUCGCAUUUUUCAUGAGUAUGAUGGCGGAUGUAUCAGGAACAGAAGAAAUCAUCAGAAAGGGAAAGAUGCCGAAAGAAUAAGGUAUCCCUGAAGCCUUGUUCUUGGGCAUGUCGUAAACAGCGGCAUGACUGUCAUCGCAGGAUGGGGAGCUAUCUGA
Molecule: non-coding RNA, 165 nt
Filed under: uncultured Mediterraneibacter sp.
Lineage: Bacteria; Bacillati; Bacillota; Clostridia; Lachnospirales; Lachnospiraceae
Description: Lysine riboswitch
Rfam family: Lysine riboswitch aptamer
About the family: Riboswitches are metabolite binding domains within certain messenger RNAs that serve as precision sensors for their corresponding targets. Allosteric rearrangement of mRNA structure is mediated by ligand binding, and this results in modulation of gene expression.
Source: RNAcentral